CUCUCUUGAGCACCCUGCAUGAAGUCCCCAGAGCAGCUCCUACCCUUCUGUGAGCCCGCCUGGCUGCUCUUCCACAUCUCCACUAUUUUUCACAGCAUUUAUCAUCUUUCAAAUUGUACCUAUUACUUGCUUUUAUGUUUAAGGUGACCUUCCUCAAGAAAUAUCUGAAAAGAAUAUCAGAGGAAAAGAGACACCACGAGGGAACCCAACUCUCCUCCUCCAGAUGAUCAGGACGCUGAGGAGUCGACAAUGGCCUGAGCUCACCGUGGGGGAGCAGAGUGACCGGAAGACUCAGCCCGGUCGGGACUACACUUGACCGCAGACAAG
Non-coding RNA from Heterocephalus glaber (naked mole-rat), 327 nucleotides. The record is from RefSeq and is a predicted model, not a curated record. Lineage: Eukaryota; Metazoa; Chordata; Mammalia; Rodentia; Bathyergidae.